UACGGAGGGCGCGAGCGUUGUUCGGAAUCACUGGGCGUAAAGCGCGCGCAGGCGGGACUAGCAAGUCGGGAGUGAAAUCUCGGAGCUCAACUCCGAGGCUGCUUCCGAAACUGCGGACCUGGAGACUGGUAGAGGUGGGUGGAAUUCCCGGUGUAGCGGUGGAAUGCGUAGAGAUCGGGAAGAACACCGGUGGCGAAGGCGGCCCACUGGGCCAGUUCUGACGCUGAGGCGCGAAAGCGUGGGGAGCAAACAGG
Molecule: ribosomal RNA, 254 nt
Filed under: uncultured prokaryote
Description: partial 16S ribosomal RNA
Rfam family: Bacterial small subunit ribosomal RNA
Source: RNAcentral